This 257-nucleotide ribosomal RNA is filed under the name uncultured bacterium. Its description in RNAcentral is "partial 16S ribosomal RNA". It matches the Rfam family "Bacterial small subunit ribosomal RNA", at positions 793 to 1055 of the family's 1533-position model. The record is from RNAcentral.
GUCCACGCCCUAACGAUGUCAACUGGUUGUUGGACGGCUUGCUGUUCAGUAACGAAGCUAACGCGUGAAGUUGACCGCCUGGGAGUACGGCCGCAAGGUUGAACUCAAGGAAUUGACGGGACCCGCACAAGCGGUGGAUGAUGUGGUUUAAUUCGAUGCAACGCGAAACCUUACCUACCCUUGACAUGUCUGGAAUUUUGCAGAGAUGUGAAAGUGCUCGAAAGAGAGCCAGAACACAGGUGCUGCAUGGCCGUCGU